Molecule: ribosomal RNA, 100 nt
Organism: Aotus nancymaae (Ma's night monkey)
Lineage: Eukaryota; Metazoa; Chordata; Mammalia; Primates; Aotidae
Source: Ensembl
GUCUACAACCAUACCAUGCUGAACAUGCCUGAUCUUGUCUGAUUUUGGAAGCUAAGCCCAUCAGUUCUCAGGUGAGAGAGGCGAGUGAGCUUUGUAGUUU